Peromyscus maniculatus bairdii (prairie deer mouse) is the source of this 1258-nucleotide non-coding RNA. The record is from RefSeq and is a predicted model, not a curated record. NCBI's taxonomy places the organism in Eukaryota, Metazoa, Chordata, Mammalia, Rodentia, Cricetidae.
CGUCUAGCGUGAACUGACAAUCUCAAUCAGACACCAACUCCUGGAGAAGCUUCAAGGAAGAAUGCUUUUCUUCUAAGCCAAGGAGCACUAGGACAUUUAGCGGUUUUGUUUGUUUGUUUGUUUGUUUGUUUGUUUGUUUGAGGGAGGAUUGGAACCCAAUCAAGUCAGUCAACAAACAGCACUCUCUGUAAUAGUAAUGACACUAUUUGAAGUGUCAUCCUUAGCUGAGAUUGUCUCAUAUAGUCUCUUACUUAAUUUUCGUAGCAGCCGUGGGAGACAGGUAUGAGAACCCCACUUCAGCCAAAACUCGGGUCACAAAGGCACUAAAUUUGUCACAGUUUUGUCAAUUGUUGUAGUAAAUUUGUAAAAGAAAGCUGACACAGAGAAGAAAUCACAUACCCUCAAGAAAACUGUGAUUAAAAUGAAAAUCAAGUGGUUUCCUCAUGAAACUCCAUGUCCAGAGGAGACUUUCCAUUUGUUGGAGUUCGGAAGAACUUAUGGAGCCAAGGGUAGAGAGAGUGAGUAGUCUGUAGCCAUCUGCAGAGCAUCCACUGUGUAUCACACACUGAGCUAGGCGCUAGGGAUUCUGGAAUGCCCUGGGCAGACAAGAUCUCUUGCCUCACAGAGCGUACCUUCUAGAGUGUUCUCUGGAACCAUUUCAAUUUUUCAUAUUAUUCUGAGAUCCUCUAUGGCAAGCAAACUUGUCUGCAGUUUGGACUGCAUGAUCUUCAGCCAAUGUGAUGGGAAAAUCUGGUGCAGAGGGUGGUUGAGAGGAGCAUUCUGAGCACUGGAUAGUCCUAUACUCUAAGAAGGUCCAGAGGCCCACCGGAGAACCAGACCGUAGCUUUGAGUAUCCUGGAGAGAAGAGUGAACUCAGGAUAGGACUUUCUAAAACGUCCAUCAAACCUACCCUUUUACUGAGUAUGAGGACUCUACUUAUUCUGCCUUUGAGGAAGUCAUCUUUGUUUGAAAUCCAGACUAUUUGUCUGAUCUCUGCCCAUUCUGGGGCUUCAAGGACUUUGCAAGAGUUCUACCUCAGACCCAAACACAGGCUACCCACCCAGAAGGGAUGCUGUUUCCUGAAGUGGGUGGGGCUGGUAUUUCAUUUAUUUGUAACCAUCAAGGAUGCUACAAGUUGCUUUGUGACCUCCCCAGAAAUACCACCAUAGUUGUUAAUAAAGGAAUGCUCCUUGAUAUGACCAAACUGAGAACUACUAGUUCAAUACAAAAAUAAAUUGUUAAUACUGCUUCAUUUCAA